Molecule: transfer RNA, 75 nt
Filed under: Candidatus Micrarchaeota archaeon CG1_02_55_22
Lineage: Archaea; Nanobdellati; Microcaldota
Description: tRNA-Arg
Rfam family: tRNA
About the family: Transfer RNA (tRNA) molecules are approximately 80 nucleotides in length. Their secondary structure includes four short double-helical elements and three loops (D, anti-codon, and T loops). Further hydrogen bonds mediate the characteristic L-shaped molecular structure. tRNAs have two regions of fundamental functional importance: the anti-codon, which is responsible for specific mRNA codon recognition, and the 3' end, to which the tRNAs corresponding amino acid is attached (by aminoacyl-tRNA synthetases). tRNAs cope with the degeneracy of the genetic code in two manners: having more than one tRNA (with a specific anti-codon) for a particular amino acid; and 'wobble' base-pairing, i.e. permitting non-standard base-pairing at the 3rd anti-codon position.
Source: RNAcentral
GGGCCCGUAGCUCAGUCUGGAUAGAGUGCCUGGCUUCGAACCAGGAGGCCGCGCGUUCGAAUCGCGUCGGGCCCG